This 500-nucleotide ribosomal RNA is filed under the name uncultured bacterium. RNAcentral describes it as "bacterial SSU rRNA". It matches the Rfam family "Bacterial small subunit ribosomal RNA", at positions 791 to 1289 of the family's 1533-position model. The record is from RNAcentral.
UAGUCCACGCCGUAAACGAUGGAUACUAGCUGUAUGUCUACUUCAGGUAGAUGUGUGGCUAAGCGAAAGUGAUAAGUAUCCCACCUGGGGAGUACGAUCGCAAGAUUGAAACUCAAAUGAAUUGACGGGGGCCCGCACAAGCGGUGGAGCAUGUGGUUUAAUUCGAUGAUACGCGAGGAACCUUACCAGGGCUUAAAUGUACGUUGCAUGAUUUAGAGAUAGAUCUUUCUUCGGACUACGUACAAGGUGCUGCAUGGUUGUCGUCAGCUCGUGCCGUGAGGUGUCAGGUUAAGUCCUAUAACGAGCGCAACCCCUAUCGUUAGUUGCCAACAGGUUAAGCUGGGAACUCUAACGAGACUGCCUGUGACAAACCGCGAGGAAGGUGGGGAUGACGUCAAAUCAUCACGGCCCUUACGUCCUGGGCCACACACGUGCUACAAUGGCCGGUACAGAGAGCACGCCACUCCGCGAGGAGGAGCGAAUCUAAUAAAACCGGUCUC